Molecule: long non-coding RNA, 573 nt
Organism: Papaver somniferum (opium poppy)
Lineage: Eukaryota; Viridiplantae; Streptophyta; Magnoliopsida; Ranunculales; Papaveraceae
Exons: 2
Source: RefSeq, a predicted model, not a curated record
CAGAAGUCCGCCCGCCGUACUCCUCCUUCUCUCUCCUCAAGAUCGCCGUGCUCCUCCGUUGAAGAACAUAGAGAUGGGUGUGAAAGGUAGACUGAGCUUUCUUAAACUUUUGGUAUGAGUGAUUCUGGAAUGGAAUUUGAUUUUUUCCUUUCCGAGUCCUCACAUGCCAAAGGUUUCCGAUAGUUCCUUCCUUUCAUUUUAUCUCCUAAUUGGUGUACCGGUUACUUGGAUCUGCUAAGAGGUAUUUUAUAUUAUUUCGAGUUAGAAGAUCAAGAAUCAGAAAGAUCUUUGCUUUUGGAUGGUCUUAUACUGGUUUUAGAAGUUAAGACUUAAGACUCUGUGGUUCGGGGGAACUAAUGAUAUGCUUGAGUUUGUAAAACUUUUAUGAAAUGCUUCUGCACACUGCAAUUGCUUAAAUGGUACGUAAAAACUGCAAUUGCUUGAAUGGUAUGUCAGAGGUGCAUUAUAAUCCAUGCAUUUUCUGUAUUUGUAGUAUUUAUAGACCUGAUCCCUGUGAUACAGCAGCUUUCAGAAUGUAACUUCAAUGAUAAUUUGGCUUUUUAUUCUGUGGAA